UGGAGUAUAAGUUAAUUAGACUGUAAGUCUUCAGAACUUAAUGUAGGGAUAUAAAUUCCUUUACUCCAA
This 69-nucleotide transfer RNA is filed under the name Donax vittatus. RNAcentral describes it as "tRNA-Trp". It matches the Rfam family "tRNA". From Rfam's summary of the family: Transfer RNA (tRNA) molecules are approximately 80 nucleotides in length. Their secondary structure includes four short double-helical elements and three loops (D, anti-codon, and T loops). The record is from RNAcentral. Lineage: Eukaryota; Metazoa; Mollusca; Bivalvia; Cardiida; Donacidae.